This 484-nucleotide ribosomal RNA is filed under the name uncultured bacterium. RNAcentral describes it as "partial 16S ribosomal RNA". It matches the Rfam family "Bacterial small subunit ribosomal RNA", at positions 30 to 507 of the family's 1533-position model. The record is from RNAcentral.
AUUGAACGCUGGCGGCAGGCCUAACACAUGCAAGUCGAGCGGAUGAAGGGAGCUUGCUCCUGGAUUCAGCGGCGGACGGGUGAGUAAUGCCUAGGAAUCUGCCUGGUAGUGGGGGAUAACGUCCGGAAACGGGCGCUAAUACCGCAUACGUCCUGAGGGAGAAAGUGGGGGAUCUUCGGACCUCACGCUAUCAGAUGAGCCUAGGUCGGAUUAGCUAGUUGGUGGGGUAAAGGCCUACCAAGGCGACGAUCCGUAACUGGUCUGAGAGGAUGAUCAGUCACACUGGACCUGAGACACGGUCCAGACUCCUACGGGAGGCAGCAGUGGGGAAUAUUGGACAAUGGGCGAAAGCCUGAUCCAGCCAUGCCGCGUGUGUGAAGAAGGUCUUCGGAUUGUAAAGCACUUUAAGUUGGGAGGAAGGGCAGUAAGUUAAUACCUUGCUGUUUUGACGUUACCAACAGAAUAAGCACCAGCUAACUUCGUG